Small nucleolar RNA from Cricetulus griseus (Chinese hamster), 137 nucleotides. The record is from Ensembl. Lineage: Eukaryota; Metazoa; Chordata; Mammalia; Rodentia; Cricetidae.
UUGGCCCUGAAUCAAGGCCAGCAGUGUGUUGAAGCUGUUGGUUUCAAGCAGGUGCCUAAAUAAAUGUCUUUCUAUGGUCUGUUGGCCAUUUUAGAAAUUGAAAAAUGUUAUGGUCAAUUCAUUAGAAAGAAACAUCU